CCCGGGCCCCGGCCAGCCGUCCAGGACGCCACCACCCUAAACCAAGCACGAAAAAGAUGUACCACCCACCAUCCUCAGGCUGCUGUUUACAUGUCCCUGCUGCAGUGCUCCCUGCGCACGCCCGCCUCGUGCGGCGGCGCGGCUACGGCUUGUGCAGCACCCUGCCGGCGACGACGGCGGCCUCUAUGACGACGGAGAUCACGUCGAUGACCUCGUCGAUCAUGCACUUGUUCCCGUCGAACGUGGACGUGCCCUCCCGCAGCCUCGCCAGGCAUUCCAGCAGCGCCUCGUUGCAAGACGUGCUCAGGUAGUCCUCUGCACAUACAUGGUAUACAUACAACACGCGCGCAUGCAGCCGUCAGACCAGCCCACGUUCGUGCUAGCAAUUGAAGACGAUCGAUAGGUAACGUACUCUUUGCCUGGACGCAGUUGUCGUGGUGCAUGCAGCAGGCGUCCAGCGCGUCGCACGGCUGCUCGCCGGGGCAGCCGCUGUACAGGAUGCCGCAGUACUUGCCGUACCGCAGGAACGGCGCCGCUGUCGUCGUAUGAAUGCCGGUGAGCGGCAGAAGAUCAUGUCGGGGGGCGCUUAUUAAGUGAGCUACCGAUGCAAUUACGAGGAAAUAAACC
Molecule: long non-coding RNA, 627 nt
Filed under: Sorghum bicolor (sorghum)
Lineage: Eukaryota; Viridiplantae; Streptophyta; Magnoliopsida; Poales; Poaceae
Description: long non-coding RNA (SBIC_LNC000146)
Source: RNAcentral